This 253-nucleotide ribosomal RNA is filed under the name uncultured bacterium. Its description in RNAcentral is "partial 16S ribosomal RNA". It matches the Rfam family "Bacterial small subunit ribosomal RNA", at positions 524 to 776 of the family's 1533-position model. The record is from RNAcentral.
UACGAAGGGGGCUAGCGUUGUUCGGAAUUACUGGGCGUAAAGCGCACGUAGGCGGAUACUUAAGUCAGGGGUGAAAUCCCGGGGCUCAACCCCGGAACUGCCUUUGAUACUGGGUAUCUCGAGUCCGGAAGAGGUGAGUGGAAUUCCGAGUGUAGAGGUGAAAUUCGUAGAUAUUCGGAGGAACACCAGUGGCGAAGGCGGCUCACUGGUCCGGUACUGACGCUGAGGCGCGAAAGCGUGGGGAGUAAACAGG